GAUGAACGCUGGCGGCGUGCCUAAUACAUGCAAGUCGAGCGAACGGACGAGAAGCUUUCUUCUCUGAUGUUAGCGGCGGACGGGUGAUUAACACGUGGAUAACCUACCUAUAAGACUGGGAUAACUUCGGGAAACCGUAUCUAAUACCGGAUAAUAUUUUGAACCGCAUGGUUCAAGAGUGAGAGACGGUCUUUCUGUCACUUAUAGAUGGAUCCGCGCUGCAUUAGCUAGUUGGUAAGGUAACGGCUUACCAAGGCAACGAUGCAUACCCGACCUGAGAGGGAGAUCGGACACACGGGAACUGAGACACGGUCCAGACUCCUACGGGAGGCAGCAGUAGGGAAUCUUACGCAAUGGGCGAAAGCCUGACGGAGCAACGCCGCGUGAGUGAUGAAGGUCUUCGGAUCGUAAAACUCUGUUAUUAGGGAAGAACAUAUGUGUAAGUAACUGUGCACAUCUUGACGGUACCUAAUCAGAAAGCCCCGGCUAACUACGUG
This 497-nucleotide ribosomal RNA is filed under the name uncultured bacterium. Its description in RNAcentral is "partial 16S ribosomal RNA". It matches the Rfam family "Bacterial small subunit ribosomal RNA", at positions 28 to 507 of the family's 1533-position model. The record is from RNAcentral.